This is a non-coding RNA of Jatropha curcas, 1214 nucleotides long. The record is from RefSeq and is a predicted model, not a curated record. Lineage: Eukaryota; Viridiplantae; Streptophyta; Magnoliopsida; Malpighiales; Euphorbiaceae.
UCCAGGCGCAGUCCCGCUUUCUCUCUCAAUUCUGAUCGCCGCCCUAGCCAACCAGCGUCGACGCCACCUUGUCCCCACUGUAGCUUCAUACCCGCUUCUCUUUCUCUUCGUCUCCGUUUCUGGUGAGCGCAAUAACCACAGGCGAGCUGCGAUUCCUUCUCUUCCAAGCAACGCAGCAGCGUCUUCUUCCAUCACCGGUGAUCUAGCUCCGGUCCCUCUCCUGUCUUGUCUCAGCGCAGCAGGCAAGAGAGGGAGCUGUAACUUCGAUUGACGGCUCGCUUCUCUCUCUCUCCUCCUCGUUUUUCCGGUGACAAUGGCAAAUCGAGCGGCUCCAAUCCUCUCCUUUAUGACGGUGAGCUUCUCUCUCCUUUUCGUUUGAUUUCAGUCGGCGCAGUAGACACAAGGAGCGGUGAUCACAGCUUGUGAUUGAAACAGUCCCGCUGCCUACACUCUUGUCCAUUUUCCGACGACACGAGCUAAGGAACCGGUCAGUUAUAAUGUCUCACUGCUUCCAGUAGCAUCACUGGCCAAAUUUGCUUCGACGAAAUUGAUUUGUGGACGCCGGAGUUGUUGCGGAUCAUUUUUAACCGGAAAAUUCUUAUUUCCAGCUAGUUUUGCAGCUAGUGGGUCACCAUGAGUUUGUGAUGGUGGUCUUCAAUACUGUUGGCCAUGUAUGGAGAGAUCGGCGCCCACUUAUGCAUCUGAUGAUAUGAAUUAUAUGAAAAACCACAUGGUGGCCUCCUCCUGUUGGUAAUGGGAAAAAAAAAAAAGAGCAUGGAAAAAAAUGAGAGGUUGGUCAAGGAAGGAUUAGACCGGUCAACUAUGUAUGAAGGAUCGACUCCCUGGUGCACACGUUUGAGAGGGCGGCCCAUGUGUGAAGACGACUCGUCUAGGAUUUUGCUGAUGCCACUAACCAAUUUCCACUUGUUUGAUUUUUUGAAGGAAAUAGAUUCUUCAUUGUCAUGCCAAAGAUCUGUUUCCUCCACUGCAGAGCUAGAAAAGUAAUCUUUAGUAUCAGUAGUUGUUUAGCGAUAUAUACAAGAACUUAUUUACAUCUAUCUGUUAGAGAACUCUGCAAUUGUAAGAUUACAACCGAUAAACUUAUGUGGAUGUUUUAAUUAUUCAUUUAGGUAUAUGCAUGAACCAGUUAGCGCAUAUUAUAGAUGUUAUAUAUCAUAUUUGGGCUCGAGCUAUAAAAUGUUUAAGAUGUUGGA